GAUGAACGCUGGCGGCGUGCCUAACACAUGCAAGUCGAGCGAAAAGACGAGGAGCUUGCCCUCUUGACGUUAGCGGGGGACGGGUGAGUAACAUGUGGAUAACCCUCCUAUAUGACUGGGAUAACUUCGGGAAAACGGUGCCAAUACCGGCAAAUAUAUUCAACAGCAUGGUUCAAUAGUGAAAGACGGCUUGCCUUCCACUUUUAGAAGGUUCCGCGCGGCAUUAGCUAGUUGGUAAGGUAACGGCUUACCAAGGCGACGAUGCGUAGCCGACCUGAGAGGAUGAUCAGCCACACUGGAACUGAGACACGGUCCAGACUCCUACGGGAGGCAGCAGUAGGGAAUCUUCCGCAAUGGGCGAAAGCCUGACGGAGCAACGCCGCGUGAGUGAAGAAGGUCUUCGGGUCGUAAAACUCUGUUAUUGGGGAAGAACAAAUGUGUAAGUAACUAUGCACGUCUUGACGGUACCUAAUCAGAAAGCCACGGCUAACUACGUG
RNAcentral lists this ribosomal RNA (497 nucleotides) under uncultured bacterium. Its description in RNAcentral is "partial 16S ribosomal RNA". It matches the Rfam family "Bacterial small subunit ribosomal RNA", at positions 28 to 507 of the family's 1533-position model. The record is from RNAcentral.